CCCCCCUUUCUCUCCUGUGGCCCGUGAGAGGAGCCCUGGACUGGCGACGGCACCGUUGUACCAGGCGGAUGGCGAGGAGUGAGGCCGAAUCACAUCGGUGGAAGACGGAUCCACUGUUGUCGGCAUUGGGGUGACUUGCGCCGACGAGGUUCCUCGAUCCCGCCCACCACAAGCCCGUCCUUCGACAUCCUUUUUGCCCGGUCGCCAUCCUCGCCGUGGGAACCACGACGGCCACCCACCACGGCGGGUUGCAGCUCACGGUCGGCGCCGGAUCCGGCGACUCCAAGCACUUCCGCAACCAGCUGCCUCUGAUAAACGGCGAUUAUCCUCUGAAGAUUUGGGAGCGUCGAAAGAAAUCGGGGCUGACAAUGUUCUCUGUUUUUUUCGAAUUUUUGCUCAGCUUGGAUUUUUGUUCAGUGUUAGAUUUGUGAAGGUGAAAUCUGUUGGGAAACGUAGCAAUAAUUUAAAAAUUUUCCUACA
Molecule: long non-coding RNA, 480 nt
Organism: Triticum dicoccoides
Lineage: Eukaryota; Viridiplantae; Streptophyta; Magnoliopsida; Poales; Poaceae
Exons: 2
Source: RefSeq, a predicted model, not a curated record